Long non-coding RNA from Lineus longissimus, 1843 nucleotides. RefSeq lists it as uncharacterized. The transcript is spliced from 2 exons. Lineage: Eukaryota; Metazoa; Nemertea; Pilidiophora; Heteronemertea; Lineidae. The record is from RefSeq and is a predicted model, not a curated record.
UGCAAAUACCAUAUACGCAAGUUUUGAACAAAUAUCACACAUAUUCCCCAGUUGACUUGUGAUGAUAUUGAUAAUGGUGGUGGUGGUGUUAUCAUGUACAUGGCUUCUAACGUAGUAAGUGUUUUCUUUUCAGCAACAUUCAAUAGAUUUAUUUACUGUAUUAUCAUUUCGACCAAGGCGAAUUCGACACUUCAAUUACACAAGCACAAUCAAACUUAGUCAUUCCAGUCAGUUACUGAAGCACAGCGAAAACUGUCUGAAUUAGUGCUGCUGAUGGCAUGUAAUUACUCUACUACCACUACCAGUGACAGUCAAUGUCCAUAUAUUUUCAAGUGUGCGAAAUUAGUACUCGUCUACUUCUUAGUGUUAUUUGAAUGCAAUGUAUGUUAUAAAAAUAUUUUUUCAACACUAUAUCAACAUUCUCAUUCCUGUCAGUUUCUGAAAAUCAGCUAAAGCAAUCGCUACCAAUGCAGCUGAUAACAGCAAUUCUUUUUGUUCCCAAUGCCCAUCCAUGACAAUAUAUUUCACGCAUGUGACAAUCAUGGUAUCAUCCUGUUUUUUGUGUUCUAUUCAUGCAAUAAAUAAAUUCAGUAUUUUCAAAUCAUUGGUGCUACAAAACUAUUCUCAUUAUAGAUUAUUCAUAUUUUAUAAAAUGCUGUCAUGUCAAAUUUUGUGUCCUAUAAAUCAUUAUGAAGUCGGCAUUUUAUGCAAUGUAUGUUAUAAAAAUAUUUUUUCAACACUAUAUCAACAUUCUCAUUCCUGUCAGUUUCUGAAAAUCAGCUAAAGCAAUCGCUACCAAUGCAGCUGAUAACAGCAAUUCUUUUUGUUCCCAAUGCCCAUCCAUGACAAUAUAUUUCACGCAUGUGACAAUCAUGGUAUCAUCCUGUUUUUUGUGUUCUAUUCAUGCAAUAAAUAAAUUCAGUAUUUUCAAAUCAUUGGUGCUACAAAACUAUUCUCAUUAUAGAUUAUUCAUAUUUUAUAAAAUGCUGUCAUGUCAAAUUUUGUGUCCUAUAAAUCAUUAUGAAGUCGGCAUUUUAUAUACAACUUUUGUACUCCUAAAUAAACAUACAAAUCUUGUUUUAUGUAAACUUUGUACAUGUGACCCGUCACAGCAAAACCAGGCGCAUGUCGCUCUGAGCUUGGCAGGUUGAGACGGACUGUUUGUUCAUUUAUCUAUUGUCUGCCUUUUGUAAAAUAUGAGCACAUCAAUUUCUUCCAUUAUCUCCUGGUGUCAUUUAGGCUCAUCUUCUGUGCGACAUGUACCUGGUUUUGCUGUGACGGGUCACAUAUUCUAUAGAUAUACAACACUCUAAUGUCACAAUGCCUCUCUCACUCGCUUUUAUAGAGCAAGAUGUAUGAAUAAACAUGACACACCAACUAUGUACAAAAUUGGUAACAAACUGCACCAUUUGUCAGUACACCACAUGAAAUACAGAGAUAUGUCUUAAUUCUAAUCUUUCAUUAGCGACACCAUUUCUUACCCGAGUGCCUCCUUCAUUCAUACAUCUUGUACUUUAACUCGAGAUACCCAUCUUUGAAUAUUUUUAGUAUACCAAGUACUACAAUGUCAAUGUAUUGAAGUCAUGUUCUUGUAGUGUUAUUGGCUUUCUAUUAUCUUGUCAAAAUACCACUUGGUUCUCGCAAAAUCUCAAUAAAAACAAAUGCUAUUGCAUGUAUUGCAUAUUCUAACAGCUAUCCACUGUAUCGAUUUAUCCAUCAUCUGUACUAUUUGUCACAAAAAUGUUAUAUUAUGUAAAUCAUAUUUCAUUACAUAAUGCACACUGCCAAGUACUGCUGAACCAUUUAUAUGUCAUUUAAAUAAAUAAUUUUCAACUUUUUAAAA